This 537-nucleotide ribosomal RNA is filed under the name uncultured bacterium. RNAcentral's name for it is "bacterial SSU rRNA". It matches the Rfam family "Bacterial small subunit ribosomal RNA", at positions 355 to 896 of the family's 1533-position model. The record is from RNAcentral.
UGGGGAAUCUUGCACAAUGGGCGAAAGCCUGAUGCAGCGACGCCGCGUGGGGGAUGAAGCUUUUCGGAGUGUAAACCCCUUUCGACUGGGACGAAUGCCUCGCAAGAGGAGUGACGGUACCAGUAUAAGAAGCCCCGGCUAACUACGUGCCAGCAGCCGCGGUAAGACGUAGGGGGCCAGCGUUGUUCGGAAUUACUGGGUGUAAAGGGUUCGUAGGCGGUGUGGCAAGUCGGGAGUGAAAUCUCUGGGCUCAACCCAGAGACUGCUUCCGAAACUGCUGUGCUUGAGUGUGAGAGAGGCUCGUGGAAUUGCAGGUGUAGCGGUGAAAUGCGUAGAUAUCUGCAGGAACACCCGUGGCGAAAGCGGCGAGCUGGAUCACUACUGACGCUGAGGAACGAAAGCUAGGGGAGCAAACAGGAUUAGAUACCCUGGUAGUCCUAGCCCUAAACGAUCAGGACUUGGGGUGCCGCCCGUUCGGGCGUCGUCCCGGAGCUAACGCGUUAAGUCCUGCACCUGGGGAGUACGGUCGCAAGACUG